This is a long non-coding RNA of Oreochromis niloticus (Nile tilapia), 472 nucleotides long. RefSeq lists it as uncharacterized. The record is from RefSeq and is a predicted model, not a curated record. The transcript is spliced from 3 exons. Lineage: Eukaryota; Metazoa; Chordata; Actinopteri; Cichliformes; Cichlidae.
CAGUGAAUACAGAAUCACAGUUACUGAGUCUGACAGUGGAGGAUACAGCUGCCGGGGUAAAAGAAGCUUUUCCUGGACGAAGUGGAGUGACACAUUAACUGUAGUAUCGAAACCAAAGGCUGAACUGAGAGCUGAUAGGACAGCUGUUCCAGUAGGGGCAGUGUGACCCUGACCUGCUCUGUGAGCCCAUCAUCAUCAUCAUCAUCAUCAUCAUCUGGAUGGAAAUACUACUGGUACAGAGAUGGGAAAUCUUAUGAAGCUUUGACAAAUGGACUAAUCAGUGUCUCAGAGGGAGGACUCUACAGCUGCAGAGGAGGAAGAGGAGAACCAGUUUACUACACAGAGGACAGUGAGUCAGUCAGGAUUGACACAACUGUGUCAAACAGGCCUGUUGUGACUCUGUAUCCAAACUGGUCUGAGAUAUACAGAGGAGAGACGAUCACUGUCAGAUGUGAGAUCCAUGGAGGAGACA